Molecule: ribosomal RNA, 492 nt
Filed under: uncultured bacterium
Lineage: Bacteria
Description: partial 16S ribosomal RNA
Rfam family: Bacterial small subunit ribosomal RNA
Source: RNAcentral
AGUGAACGCUGGCGGUAGGCCUAACACAUGCAAGUCGAACGGCAGCACAGUAAGAGCUUGCUCUUACGGGUGGCGAGUGGCGGACGGGUGAGGAAUACAUCGGAAUCUACUUUUUCGUGGGGGAUAACGUAGGGAAACUUACGCUAAUACCGCAUACGACCUACGGGUGAAAGCAGGGGAUCUUCGGACCUUUCGUGAUUGAAUGAGCCGAUGUCGCAGUAGCUAGUUGGCGUGGUAAAGGCACACCAAGGCGACGAUACGUAGCUGAUCUGAGAGGAUGUGCGCCGACACUGUGAAUGAGACACGCGCCACAGUCCUACGGGAGGGACCGGUGUGGAAAAUUUCGCAAUGGGGGAGAGACUGACAUAGCAACACAGCGCGAGGGAGGAAGGGCUCCGGGUGGUAAAAAUCUCUUUUGUGGGAAGAAAAAAUGAGCAAGUAACUACGCCCGUGUUGACGGUACCCAAAAAGAAAGCCCCGGCUAACUACGUG